RNAcentral lists this ribosomal RNA (432 nucleotides) under uncultured bacterium. Its description in RNAcentral is "partial 16S ribosomal RNA". It matches the Rfam family "Bacterial small subunit ribosomal RNA", at positions 29 to 507 of the family's 1533-position model. The record is from RNAcentral.
ACGAACGCUGGCGGCAUGCCUAACACCUGCAAGUCGAACGAGACCUUCGGGUCUAGUGGCGCACGGGUGCGUAACGCGUGGGAACCUGCCCUUAGGUUCGGAAUAACUCCCCGAAAGGGGUGCUAAUACCGGAUAAUGUCUUCGGACCAAAGAUUUAUCGCCUUUGGAUGGGCCCGCGUUGGAUUAGCUAGUUGGUAGGGUAAAAGCCUACCAAGGCGACGAUCCAUAGCUGGUCUGAGAGGAUGAUCAGCCACACUGGGACUGAGACACGGCCCAGACUCCUACGGGAGGCAGCAGUGGGGAAUAUUGGACAAUGGGCGAAAGCCUGAUCCAGCAAUGCCGCGUGAGUGAUGAAGGCCUUAGGGUUGUAAAGCUCUUCUACCCGGGAUGAUAAUGACAGUACCGGGAGAAUAAGCACCGGCUAACUCCGUG